This 334-nucleotide unclassified non-coding RNA is filed under the name soil metagenome. Its description in RNAcentral is "partial contains 5.8S ribosomal RNA, internal transcribed spacer 2, and large subunit ribosomal RNA". The stretch from base 1 to 120 matches the Rfam family "5.8S ribosomal RNA", at positions 35 to 154 of the family's 154-position model. The record is from RNAcentral.
GAUGAAGAACGUAGCGAAAUGCGAUAAGUAAUGUGAAUUGCAGAAUUCAGUGAAUCAUCGAAUCUUUGAACGCACAUUGCGCCCCCCAGUAUUCUGGCGGGCAUGCCUGUUCGAGCGUCAUUUCAACCAUCAAGCCCUGCUUGUGUUGGGGUCCUGCGGCUGCCCGCAGGCCCUGAAAACCAGUGGCGGGCUCGCUAGUCACACCGAGCGCAGUAGCACAUCUCGCUCAGGGCGUGCGGCGGGCUCCAGCCGUUAAAGCACCCACCUUUCGCAAGGUUGACCUCGGAUCAGGUAGGAAUACCCGCUGAACUUAAGCAUAUCAAUAAGCGGAGGA